This 429-nucleotide ribosomal RNA is filed under the name Chloroflexota bacterium. RNAcentral's name for it is "Chloroflexi bacterium partial 16S ribosomal RNA". It matches the Rfam family "Bacterial small subunit ribosomal RNA", at positions 355 to 776 of the family's 1533-position model. Lineage: Bacteria; Bacillati; Chloroflexota. The record is from RNAcentral.
UGGGGAAUAUUGCACAAUGGGCGCAAGCCUGAUGCAACCAUGCCGCGUGUAUGAAGAAGGCCUUCGGGUUGUAAAGUACUUUCAGCGGGGAGGAAGGGAGUAAAGUUAAUACCUUUGCUCAUUGACGUUACCCGCAGAAGAAGCACCGGCUAACUCCGUGCCAGCAGCCGCGGUAAUACGGAGGGUGCAAGCGUUAAUCGGAAUUACUGGGCGUAAAGCGCACGCAGGCGGUUUGUUAAGUCAGAUGUGAAAUCCCCGGGCUCAACCUGGGAACUGCAUCUGAUACUGGCAAGCUUGAGUCUCGUAGAGGGGGGUAGAAUUCCAGGUGUAGCGGUGAAAUGCGUAGAGAUCUGGAGGAAUACCGGUGGCGAAGGCGGCCCCCUGGACGAAGACUGACGCUCAGGUGCGAAAGCGUGGGGAGCAAACAGG